UUUCCGUAGGUGAACCUGCGGAAGGAUCAUUAAAGAGAUCAGGGGUCGACCCGAAAGGGUAGGCCCCGACCUCCCACCCCUUUGUCGUCGCGAAUUUGUUGCCUCGGCGGGACCGUCCCGAGUCGUGCCUCCAACGACGGAGGUCGACCGGGCCUGGAUCGACCAGGGCCGGGCAGCGCCCGCCGGGGACCCAAGACCAAAACCCUCUCGAAUCAAACCAUGAAGUCUGAGCAAGCGUGAACCGGGACCGAAGCCCCUCAACACGGGCGGAGGCGACGGGGAGCGGAACAAUGAAACAAAACUUUCAACAACGGAUCUCUUGGCUCUGGCAUCGAUGAAGAACGCAGC
RNAcentral lists this unclassified non-coding RNA (348 nucleotides) under uncultured fungus. RNAcentral describes it as "sequence contains ITS1, 5.8S rRNA gene". The stretch from base 300 to 348 matches the Rfam family "5.8S ribosomal RNA", at positions 1 to 49 of the family's 154-position model. The record is from RNAcentral. Lineage: Eukaryota; Fungi.